This 548-nucleotide ribosomal RNA is filed under the name uncultured archaeon. RNAcentral's name for it is "bacterial SSU rRNA". It matches the Rfam family "Archaeal small subunit ribosomal RNA", at positions 331 to 879 of the family's 1478-position model. The record is from RNAcentral.
CGCAGCAGGCGCGAAAACUUCACAAUGGGGGCAACCCCGAUGAGGGAAUUCCAAGUGCUAGCACUUUUUGUGUUAGCUGUUCUCCUGUCUAAAAAACAGGAGAAGUAAGGGCCGGGUAAGACGGGUGCCAGCCGCCGCGGUAAUACCCGCGGCCCGAGUGGUGGUCGAUAUUAUUGAGCCUAAAACGUUCGUAGCCGGUCUUGUAAAUCCUUGGGUAAAUCGGCCAGCUUAACUGUCCGAAGUCCGGGGAGACUGCAAGACUUGGGAUCGGGAGAGGUCAGAGGUACUUCUGGGGUAGGGGUAAAAUCCUGUAAUCCUAGAAGGACCACCGGUGGCGAAGGCGUCUGACUAGAACGAAUUCGACGGUGAGGAACGAAGCCCUGGGGCGCAAACGGGAUUAGAUACCCCGGUAGUCCAGGGUGUAAACGCUGCGGGCUUGGUGUUGGGGGUCCUUAGUGGGCGCCCAGUGCCGGAGAGAAGUUGUUAAGCCUGCUGCUUGGGGAGUACGUCCGCAAGGAUGAAACUUAAAGGAAUUGGCGGGGGAGCAC